This 497-nucleotide ribosomal RNA is filed under the name uncultured bacterium. RNAcentral's name for it is "partial 16S ribosomal RNA". It matches the Rfam family "Bacterial small subunit ribosomal RNA", at positions 28 to 507 of the family's 1533-position model. The record is from RNAcentral.
GAUGAACGCUGGCGGCGGGCCUAAUACAUGCAAGUCGAGCGAACAGACGAGGAGCUUGCUCCGCUGACGUUAGCGGCGGGCGGGUGAGUAACACGUGGAUAACCUGCCUAGAAGACUGGGAUAAGGUCGGGAAACCGGAGCUAAUACCGGAUAAUAUAUUGAACCGCAUGGUUCAAUGGUGAAAGACGGUUUUGCUGUCACUUAUAGGUGGAUCCUCGCCGCAUUAGCUAGUUGGUAAGGUAACGGCUUACCAAGGCAACGAUGCGUAGCCGACCUGAGAGGGUGAUCAGUCACACUGGAACUGAGACACGGUCCAGACUCCUACGGGAGGCAGCAGUAGGGAAUCUUCCGCAAUGGGCGAAAGCCUGACGGAGCCACGCCGCGUGAGUGAUGAAGGUCUUCGGAUCGUAAAACUCUGUUAUUAGGGAAGAACAAAUGUGUAAGUAAACAUGCCCGUCUUGACGGUACCUACUCAGAAAGCAACGGCUAACUACGUG